AUUGAACGCUGGCGGCAGGCCUAACACAUGCAAGUCGAGCGGAUGAAGCGAGCUUGCUCCUGGAUUCAGCGGCGGACGGGUGAGUAAUGCCUAGUAAUCUGCCUGGUAGUGGGGGAUAACGUCCUGAAACGGGCGCUAAUACCGCAUACGUCCUGAGGGCGAAAGGGGGUGAUCUUCGGACCUCACGCUAUCAGAUUAGCAUAGGUCGGACUAGCUAGUUGGUGGGGUAGAGGCCUACCAAGGCGACGAUCCGUAACUGGUCUGAGAGGAUGAUCAGUCACACUGGAACUGAGAAACGGUCCAGACUCCUACGGGAGGCAGCAGUGGGGAAUAUUGGACGAUGGGGGAGAGCCUGAUACAGCAAUGCCGCGUGUGUGAAGAAGGUGUUAGGAUUGUAAAGCACUUUAAGUUGGGAGGAAGGGCAGUAAGUUAAUACCUUGCUGUUUUGACGUUACCAACAGAAUAAGCACCGGCUAACUUCGUG
RNAcentral lists this ribosomal RNA (484 nucleotides) under uncultured bacterium. Its description in RNAcentral is "partial 16S ribosomal RNA". It matches the Rfam family "Bacterial small subunit ribosomal RNA", at positions 30 to 507 of the family's 1533-position model. The record is from RNAcentral.